Oryza brachyantha (malo sina) is the source of this 181-nucleotide non-coding RNA. Lineage: Eukaryota; Viridiplantae; Streptophyta; Magnoliopsida; Poales; Poaceae. The record is from Rfam.
UUUUCGUUUUUCCAUGUCCAACGUUUAACCAUUCGUCUUAUUUGAAAUUUCUUUACAAUUAAUAUUUUUAUUCUUACUAUAUAAUAAAACAUAAAUAGUACUUUAUGCGUGACUAAUUCUUUUAAGUUUUUUACAAAUUUUUCAAAUAAGACGAAUGGUCAAACGUUGGAUACGAAAAAAC